UCCUCAUCGGAGUGCCUUGCAGUGCCUCGCCCCAAGCCGCGUCCUCACCGGAUCCGCGCUCGCCGGCCUCCCCGUCGCGCCAAGUCCCUGCUCCCGCGACCCCUGCCUCGUAUGUGUCCUAUUCGAUGAAGGAAGACGAACGCUGACCACACGCGUUGACUGCGGCUCGUCUGCGAGCGACCGCCAGUGGGCUCUAGGCCCAGCAUCGCCAGGUCACCCAAAGCCCGAUGUGAGCAGUCCCUGCAGCCCCUCCUCUCUGUUGGCCCUGUUUGUGAAGAUUCAGCCCGAUGUGUUUUUUUCCUUAGCUGUGAUUUUAUCAAUUUCUAGGGAAUUGCACUUUUGCAGAUCAGCCCCUAAACUUCACACAUUUCAUUACUCACAAACGGUGCAUCAUAUGUGAAAACUUUAAAUAUGAAAAAUGCUUAGAAUUUUGUGUGGGAUAAUAAUAUCAAACUUUCUUGCACGUUUGAAAUGCUUAAAAUGAUGUUUUCUUAUAUUUGCCUAUUGCCAUGCUAAAAUGAUUUAACUCAUAACUAAAUAACCGUAGCUCGGUUUCUAAUAAACUUUAUAUGUAAAUGGGGUAGAAUUUUGCCUAGUUUAACAUGGUGGCAUCACUUUGCAUGUUUAACAACUAUAAAAUUUGGUUUAGGGCAGAACAGCACCAAACCUAAUAUAUGCAUAUGGGGAUUUACCGGAAUUGUUGUUAGUUGCUUCCGGCCUCAUUUAAACUUGACUAGAUAUGUAGUUUUACUUUGCUUCACCCUCUUGCCAUGCUAACAACAUUUAAUCUUGUUGGGUACAUAAACGAGAUCGAACUAAGUAACCCGUAUGCGGUGUUCCGUCAACAUGCGUCCUGUUGCAUAUUGAGCUCCACUUAAUUUGUAGGAUUGCUUGUGCAUUUUGCCAUGCCAUGCCUCUUUAAACCGGACAUGCAUCAUACUUGAUUGUGCAUCAUGCCAUGAUUAUGUGAUGGUUGUUUACUAUAUUGUGUGCUUCUUUUCAGUGUUGCUUUUUCGGGUUGGUUUCGAUAACUUCGUGUUGUGAGGACCCGUUCGACUACGUCCGUUUGUAUUCUUCAUGGACUCGUUCUUCUUCCUUGCGGGAUUUCAGGCAAGAUGACCAUACCCUCGAAAUCACUUCUAUUUUUGCUUGCUAGUUGCUCGCUCUUUUGCUAUGCCUAUGCUGCGAUACCUACCACUUGCUUUUCAUGCCUCCCAUAUUGUUAAACCAAGCCUCUAACCCACCUUAUCCUAGCAAACCGUUGUUUGGCUAUGUUACCGCUUUGCUCAGCCCCUCUUAUAGCGUUGUUAGUUGUAGGUGAAGAUUGGAGUUUGUUCCAUGUUGGAACAUGGUUAUUUUGUUGGGAUAUCACAAUAUCUCUUAUUUAAUUAAUGCAUCUAUAUACUUG
Molecule: long non-coding RNA, 1408 nt
Filed under: Triticum aestivum (bread wheat)
Lineage: Eukaryota; Viridiplantae; Streptophyta; Magnoliopsida; Poales; Poaceae
Description: long non-coding RNA (TAES_LNC021037)
Source: RNAcentral